Molecule: ribosomal RNA, 520 nt
Filed under: uncultured bacterium
Lineage: Bacteria
Description: bacterial SSU rRNA
Rfam family: Bacterial small subunit ribosomal RNA
Source: RNAcentral
AGAGUUUGAUCCUGGCUCAGAUUGAACGCUGGCGGCAUGCCUUACACAUGCAAGUCGAAYGGCAGCACGGGAGCAAUCCUGGUGGCGAGUGGCGAACGGGUGAGUAAUGUAUCGGAACGUACCUUUCAGUGGGGGAUAACGUAGCGAAAGUUACGCUAAUACCGCAUAUUCUGUGAGCAGGAAAGCAGGGGAUCGCAAGACCUUGCGCUGAUUGAGCGGCCGAUAUCAGAUUAGCUAGUUGGUGAGGUAAAGGCUCACCAAGGCGACGAUCUGUAGCGGGUCUGAGAGGAUGAUCCGCCACACUGGAACUGAGACACGGUCCAGACUCCUACGGGAGGCAGCAGUGGGGAAUUUUGGACAAUGGGGGCAACCCUGAUCCAGCCAUGCCGCGUGAGUGAAGAAGGCCUUCGGGUUGUAAAGCUCUUUCAGCCGGGAAGAAAUCACAUGGAUUAAUACCCUGUGUGGAUGACGGUACCGGAAUAAGAAGCACCGGCUAACUACGUGCCAGCAGCCGCGGUAA